GUGAAGUCGAUGCUUACACAUGCAGUCGAUUCAAGUUACCUUCGGGUAAUGAGGAUGGCGGACGGGUGAGUAACGCGUAAGGAACUUGCCUCUUGGACUGGGACAACUGUUGGAAACGACAGCUAAUACCGGAUAUUAUGAGAUUCUCGCAUGAGAAACUUAUGAAAGCUAUAUGCGCCAAGAGAGAGCCUUGCGUUCCAUUAGCUAGUUGGUGGGGUAACGGCCCACCAAGGCGACGAUGGAUAGCCGGCCUGAGAGGGUGAACGGCCACAAGGGGACUGAGACACGGCCCUUACUCCUACGGGAGGCAGCAGUGGGGAAUAUUGGACAAUGGGCCACAAGCCUGAUCCAGCAAUUCUGUGUGCACGAUGAAGGUCUUCGGAUUGUAAAGUGCUUUCAGUUGGGAAGAAGAAAGUGACGGUACCAACAGAAGAAGCGACGGCUAAAUACGUGCCAGCAGCCGCGGUAAUACGUAUGUCGCAAGCGUUAUCCGGAUUUAUUGGGCGUAAAGCGCGUCUAGGCGGAAAAAUAAGUCUGAUGUUAAAAUGCGGGGCUCAACUCCGUAUUGCGUUGGAAACUGUUUUUCUAGAGUACUGGAGAGGUGGGCGGAACUACAAGUGUAGAGGUGAAAUUCGUAUAUAUUUGUAGGAAUGCCGAUGGAGAAGUCAGCUCACUGGACAGAUACUGACGCUGAAGCGCGAAAACGUGGGGAGCAAACACGAUUAAACACCCUGGAAGUCCACGCCAUAAUAGAUGAUGACUAUGUGUUGGGGGACAAAACUCAUCGCCCGAUCUAACGCGAUACGAGAUCCAUCUGGGGAGUACGCUCGAUAAUGUGAAUCUCAAAGGUAAUGUACGUGACGCAGACGAGCUGGAGGAAUAGGGGUUUAAUUUCGACCCUACCGAAGCGAUGAUAGCACGGUGUAGUAUUCAACCUUUCC
RNAcentral lists this ribosomal RNA (941 nucleotides) under uncultured bacterium. RNAcentral describes it as "bacterial SSU rRNA". It matches the Rfam family "Bacterial small subunit ribosomal RNA", at positions 35 to 998 of the family's 1533-position model. The record is from RNAcentral.